This 761-nucleotide ribosomal RNA is filed under the name uncultured Acidobacteriota bacterium. RNAcentral describes it as "bacterial SSU rRNA". It matches the Rfam family "Bacterial small subunit ribosomal RNA", at positions 60 to 854 of the family's 1533-position model. Lineage: Bacteria; Pseudomonadati; Acidobacteriota. The record is from RNAcentral.
AGUCGCACGAGAAAGUGGAGCAAUCCAUGAGUACAGUGGCGUACGGGUGAGUAACACGUGGAUCAUCUACCUCUUAGUGGGGAAUAACCCUGGGAAACCGGGGCUAAUACCGCAUAAGCUCGAGAGAGGAAAGCAGCAAUGCGCUGAGAGAGGAGUCCGCGGCCGAUUAGCUAGUUGGCAGGGUAAAUGCCUACCAAGGCAAAGAUCGGUAGCCGGCCUGAGAGGGCACACGGCCACACUGGCACUGAAACACGGGCCAGACUCCUACGGGAGGCAGCAGUGGGGAAUCUUGCACAAUGGGGGAAACCCUGAUGCAGCGACGCCGCGUGAGCGAUGAAGCCCUUCGGGGUGUAAAGCUCUUUCGGCAGGGAAGAUCAUGACGGUACCUGCAGAAGCAGCUGCGGCUAACUACGUGCCAGCAGCCGCGGUAAUACGUAGGCAGCGAGCGUUGUUCGGAGUUACUGGGCGUAAAGGGUGUGUAGGCGGUUGCUUAAGUUUGGUGUGAAAUCUCCCGGCUCAACUGGGAGGGUGCGCCGAAUACUGAGUGACUCGAGUGCGGGAGAGGAGAGUGGAAUUCCUGGUGUAGCGGUGAAAUGCGUAGAUAUCAGGAGGAACACCGGCGGUGUAGACGGCUCUCUGGACCGUAACUGACGCUGAGACACGAAAGCGUGGGUAGCAAACAGGAUUAGAUACCCUGGUAGUCCACGCCCUAAACGAUGCAUAUUUGGUGUGGGUCAUUCAGUUGAUCCGUGCCGGAGCUA